UCCAACUUUGUGAGGAAACAUGACGGAUAUAGAAUAGGUGGGAGCUGGGUGGUUCGGUGCCUGGCAUCAGUGAAAUACCAUUGCUGUCAUUGUUUCUUUAAUUAUUCACUGAAACGGGAAAGUAAUGGCAUUUUGGUGGGAAGCACGUGCUGGCCAACGUGGUUUAACGCUGGCUGUGUCGGUGUCAUGCUCAUGUCAGAU
RNAcentral lists this non-coding RNA (201 nucleotides) under Trichobilharzia regenti. Lineage: Eukaryota; Metazoa; Platyhelminthes; Trematoda; Strigeidida; Schistosomatidae. The record is from Rfam by way of RNAcentral.